UUACGGUCGGCCUACCAGGCUAUGACGGGUAGCCGGCCUGAGAGGGUGUACGGCCACACCGGGACUGAGACACGGCCCGGACUCCUACGGGAGGCAGCAGUGAGGAAUCUUGCACAAUGGGCGAAAGCCUGAUGCAGCGAUGCCGCGUGAGGGAUGAAGGCCUUCGGGUCGUAAACCUCUUUCGACAGGGAAGAAGCCCGGGGUCACCCGGGUGACGGUACCUGUAGAAGAAGCCCCGGCUAACUACGUGCCAGCAGCCGCGGCCGA
Molecule: ribosomal RNA, 267 nt
Filed under: uncultured Actinomycetes bacterium
Lineage: Bacteria; Bacillati; Actinomycetota; Actinomycetes
Description: uncultured actinobacterium partial 16S ribosomal RNA
Rfam family: Bacterial small subunit ribosomal RNA
Source: RNAcentral